RNAcentral lists this ribosomal RNA (419 nucleotides) under uncultured bacterium. RNAcentral's name for it is "bacterial SSU rRNA". It matches the Rfam family "Bacterial small subunit ribosomal RNA", at positions 1061 to 1481 of the family's 1533-position model. The record is from RNAcentral.
CGUGUCGUGAGAUGUUGGGUUAAGUCCCGCAACGAGCGCAACCCUUGACCUUAGUUGCCAGCAUUCAGUUGGGCACUCUAAGGUGACUGCCGGUGACAAACCGGAGGAAGGUGGGGAUGACGUCAAAUCAUCAUGCCCCUUAUGACCUGGGCUACACACGUGCUACAAUGGAUGGUACAAAGGGCUGCAAGACCGCGAGGUUUAGCCAAUCCCAUAAAACCAUUCUCAGUUCGGAUUGUAGGCUGCAACUCGCCUACAUGAAGCCGGAAUCGCUAGUAAUCGCGGAUCAGCAUGCCGCGGUGAAUACGUUCCCGGGCCUUGUACACACCGCCCGUCACACCACGAGAGUUUGUAACACCCGAAGUCGGUGAGGUAACCUUUUGGAGCCAGCCGCCGAAGGUGGGACAGAUGAUUGGGGU